GUUUGUUCAGUACUUUUGGUUUAAGUAUUUUCCAUCUCAAUUCAGAAUUCCUCAACACCCGUGUUUCAUCAGUCUUGAUAUUCACUUUGAUUCCAUCCUUCUUCAGAAUUUGCUGUAUUAAUUAAUCGAUGGGCUCAAAAAUCAUUUUACGAGUUAACUCAAAGUCUAGCUACGUUCAUGAUGGCCGUUUGAUGGUAGUGUAGAUAAAAACAAACGUACAGCUGCAUCAUGUGAAACACAACCCAGGCAAUUUACGAUCUAUUCAACUACAAUGUCCUGAAAUACAAGUCUCAAGUCAACACUGACUAUUUUGAUAUUAGACAAAGGACAGAUCCUUACCCAGGGAUUCCACUGCACGCAGAUCCACUCUGCUCAGCUCUGGAAUGGCAGGCGGAUCAAAUACGGAAGCAUACAGCCCCCACUGGAUCUGAUUCGCUGCAGCAAGCGGAGGAGAAGCACUUGAGAUAUUACCGAUAUUUCUCACGAGACUGGACGAUAUCUCACAUGUUUUGAAUGAUAAUGAAUGAGAUCGGAAGUGUACAUAAACACCCACAUCCCACAACCCUGGCCCCUCCCAUUAUCACGUGAAGAACAGUUCAACUUAUUGACUUUAUUUUAUUCUGAAAAUUAAGCGGAUAUUUCACUCUGUCACUGCAUACAACUGAAUUAAUGCGCUGUGCUGCGGCAUCCGGCAAAAAUAGAAGCCAUGUGUAUCUGAUCCAGCCGCCGGAGCAGAUCCGCAGAGUAGCUGGACAGCGGAUGGACUGUGCAGAAUCACGCACAUUGAUUAUAAUGCUUGCGUAUUUGAUCAGGCUGCUGUUCCAGAGCGGAGCGCAAAAAAAGAGAAUUCAGAACUGUAUUUGGACCCAAGAGCUCCAACAGUGGCCCUCAUUAAGGAGAAAACAGCAGCUGUUAUGAGCUGUGAGUUAAAGCAGGUAGAAUAAAACUCAAAUUAAUUUCUUUUUGAUUAGUCUCUGGCAUGCACAGAUUAUUAAAAAAGGACAAACGCUCAUAUUCAACCUUUAAUUGCAGCCAUUACUCUGAGUGCCAAGUAGGCAAAAUACGUGAAAACCCUGAUUACGGGGGCUGGGAAAUGAUUGCGUUGCAGUCAACUCGAAAUGAUGAACAUUAGAAAGAUGAGAGAGGAGGGACUGUUUUUGUCCUCAGAGGAACAGGUGGGAACAUUAACUGCAGUUGGCAGGUUGCGCUAACAAGCUGCAGGGCUUUCUGGGAUGUGUGUGUCUGCACUGUGGCUAAUUAAUCACAGAGUACUGACACAGUUAAAACGAAGCAAAUGACUGCGCUUCUCCAGGAACACAGAAAUAAAUGGGUGUGAGCUCCGUAAUUGAUUCCUCAUUUCCACAGACUUCAAAAGCGAGCGAGAGUCUUAAUCAGAUUAAAGUUCUGGAUGAUUCCAAAUUUAUCAGCCAAAUUAAAGUGUUAUAUUUACUUCGAGGAGGAGCACAGAUUCUCCUCUUGACAAUGUGGGAAUAUAAUGACCUUAUGCUAAUAAUACCCAUAAAAAAACGACAGAUAAUAAACUCCCCUCCAGGGUUUUGGAGAUGCUGUUUCGGGUUAGAGUUUCUUUCAUGUCUGUGCGUUUGUUUUAAUCAAAGUAAGCAAACUUUUAGAAAGUGAAAUUCUCAUGCCGAUACGUUAAAACUGUUACAUAAAACCUCCAGGAGAAGAUGGCCUCAUAUCACUUAUUGAACUCUCCUAUUAUUACUCGGUUAAUAUCACUUUAAUGUCCGCCGUCUGACAUUCAUUCAGAGUAUUUAGCGAACAGAGAUCUGAGGCUAAACAAAAGCUGAGGGGAUUGAAUGUCAGAGUUAGUCUUGGGUGUAUGGAGCAGAUGUCACAAGUGCGUGCUUUUAUUUAAAGAUUUUGUAAAAGCUGUAGAUCUCUUGCAUGAUAAAGCUUUCAGUGUUUAUGCAAUCUUUAAUAUCCAGCCGCUUUGUUUAUAGCGAUAGGGAUUCAAUUACGUCCCUCCUGCUGGAGCUGGACUACAAUCAGCGUCCGGUUGUUCCGUCUUUAUUUGUCAGGAAUCCCGCUGGGGGCCUGGCCUACAUGAAUCCACAUUAUCAUCCUUAUUAUACAGAAAAUCUUUUUGCAUUUCGCUUGAGAAAAUUUUCAGGCUUCAAGGGCAUGAUUAAUGAUUAAGAGGAAAAACUUCUCAUCUUUAAAGCUCUCCGAGACAUCAAAGCUGUUCAGCUUAUUGUUAAACUUAGCCGUGCUUUAGGACAUGAACCAACACUUAAACUGUAUUAAAGAGAGUUUUUCCUCCAAUGAGGGGGAUAAAGAGCGCUGGCAAGUGAAGUGUAAGCUGUCACAACUGUAAUUCUCUUUACAAUAUGUUUGUAUAUUCACCCAGGUCCUAAUGGACUUCAAUAUUGAAUUGAGGGUUUAAAUGUUUACCGCCACAUAUACAGUAUCCUCUCAGAUUCUCCCUCCUGGAUGUUAAAGUGUCAUAAAACGUGAUAAAUGUAAAAACUGUGAAUCAAACAAAAAAAAAAGAGAACUUCUCUGUUUUCAUCUACAAAGUUGACCAAGUGGAGUUUAGUCAUCGACAAAAGCACAACAUCAGAUUCGCAAACUUAGUCCAUAUGGGUCACCACAACAACACAGUGAUAUUUCAUCUAGCAGAGGAUAAAUGGGAGAGUGUGAAUGGGUUCGAAUUUCAAACAAGUCCCUAUUUGUCUCUACCAGCUGUUUGGCCAUCGCUCCUGCAGUGAGUAUAACACACAGUUCCCAUAGUUGCAAAAGAAAACAAGUCCACAGUUGACCCAGAAAGCUCAAUCGUGUUCAUUUGCAGAUCAGGUUUUCUGAAAGUCAGUGGAGUUACCCAGAGUGCAUUUAUCUUUGACUCGCUCAGACUCUCUGGAGACAAAGCUGGACACUUUUGAGGUACCUGGGUACAGAUGCUUUGACUCCACCCACAGAAAACUUUCAGCUCUGGGAUCAUUUGUGUCAUUUUUAAUUGCAAUAUUUAAAAAAAGAAAGAAAUUGAAAAUGAAUUGAGCUAAAACUGGCCUAAUGAAUUCUUCUCUUGAUUCCUGCAACUACCCACCCCGAGCCUCUUGGACUGUGUUUGAACAUCAUGGCUGACCUGGACUCGGUUGUUCACCGAUGGCCUUUGGGGUUUGAGGAACUGCGAACCUCCUGAACUCUUGGAACCCUAAUUUUAUUUCUUGUUCUCUUGUUUGUCUUAAACACAGAAAGUUGGUUGUUUCCCAAACCCACGGUAAGUAACAACAGGCUCCCAUAAAGUGUUUCUCUUGUAUCCACAUGGUGCCCACAAGCAUCCGCACUCACGCUGGAAUGUGUUUUUAAUCCAAAACUAAGAGUCAAACGAGGGUCUUUGUCUGAUAAAAUCUGACAGUAAUGAUGAUGGUUUGACGUUGGCCUGAAGGUCAACAAUGGUAAGACUAAGACCCAAAGUUUAGAGGUUCAAAUCCUUCAAGCAACUGAGCGAAGAGUGGGCAGAAGAUUAAUCUGGCACCCCUGAAGGAGAACAACUUUAGUGGGGGGCCAGUUUGGUAGUUUUGACCAUCUACCAAGCACAAAUCUGUUUUAAUACUACAGUCCAAGUUCGGGUGUCUAGUGAUUGGGAUCCAAAGGUUCAGGUUCAUCCAAGUUCGCCAGAGUCAAAACUUCAGAUCUCAUUGUCUGGGUUUAUUCUUGAGAAUGACAGACAUUACAGUGAAAUAUAACCAAAAAUAUAAGACCCCCAUGUUUAAAGGAUGACCCCCCUUUUCAAGACUUAUCCAUAGGAAGAGUUUCUGGAGACCAAGCCUGGUUACAGAAAUACAUUUCCAUCAAUACUUAUAAUGGAAAAACAUUGAAGAGUGGUUGAUGCAACCAUAGACAUCACAUUCGUUAACAAGUCGGACAUAUUGCUGAGGGCAUGUUCACAAAUACAAGCGGAUAUGGAAACUGGGUUUUCUGAAUAAAAGCACUCAUUUAAAUUUCCAUCUAGACUUUGUCUGUCUACUGUGGAAACAAGAAUUGUCAGUCCAGUCACUGAGAUACUCCUGACUGCUUUUAGAUAUCAUGAAAAAGGCAUUGAUAUUAAUUUCAGUCUAUUUUACACUCCUCAAAGAUGCUCUAAUAUGUCGCAUGGUUUUGACUAUUUUUUCUAUGUUUUUAUUGCAUAUGUUUUAAGUUGUUCUUACCAGUUUUUUAGCUUAUCUAUUUAUUAUAAUUUUUUUCAGCUGGUCCUGGGAAACCAUUUUUAUGGUUUUGAAUAUUUCUUAUACUCGAUGACAGAAAAUUAUACACUUACAGUCUUAAUUACAGCCUUUUUAAUUGCAUACAAUAACAUGUCAUGGUUUAAAGAUUUAUCACAGGCAGUUGGGUGCUAUUAUUGGUUAGAUUUGACAGAUGACUAAGGUAAAUCAAAUGUAGGCAUGAUUUUUCAAACCAAGACUUCACAGUAGCUUUGCCUAGCAGCUCUGAGGCGUCCUGGUGUUUUUACACUCUGUUUCUGUAACGGUAAGGUGGUAAACACUGUAGAGACACUGUAGAAACUCAUAUACACGUUAGUUGCACGCUUGUGAGAGACUCUGCCAACGCUGAUAUGUCCAAAUCAGACUGGUGUGGUCAUUCAGCAGUGAGGAGGCAUGUUUCUACAUACAUGUGAAUGUGCAUCUUUGGCUCAAUGUAUGACCCAGCUCGUCAUUCCUACUACAUUUUGCACACAUGCACAAAUUUAAGAUGACUACUCUCUAAUCCAAAGAACAAACGUAUCGAGGUCACUGAGGAUUUUGGGUGACUAUCGUUAACUUUUUUUUCACAUGAGCUCCAAAUAAAUCAUUUUAAUAUUGAGCAGGUUUAAUGAGAUGGAAAAUAAAGGCCAAAAAAUAGAGAGAGAGAUAAAUGAAAUGUCCGGACAAUUAUCCACAACUGUGUAAACACCUUCCUGCAUCAUCAGAUGGCUACAUGUUCAUUAUAGUGAAAAUACUCUGGCACUUAUUUUCACAGAUGACUGAGCUCGUCAUGGAAACGCCUUUCAGUCCAUUCAGCCUCUUCAGGCCGCACAAAGCGCCGUCUCCUCUCAAUAACUUUGAACUCGCCUCAAAACAACUUUGAAACGCUGGUUCUCACACACGACAACCCCAGAGGUGGAAUUUGUGAAUCGAGCUAUAGAUUCACGACCCCCAACCCCAAACCCCCCACCCCCGGAAGAAAGCGCUAAUUAGCUCAGAUGUCCGGGCAAAUCCACACCCCAGUGCACCCUGGGAGAUGAGAAAACAAGAUGUUGUUGUUGUUAAAAAUCAUAGAGGAGGGAUGUAAAGAUUUACGUCCAAUUUGGUGCGAAAGCGAGGGUACCUCCGUUAAAUUAAUUUACCUCAGUCUGGUCGUCAAAGAACAUUUUACCUCGUGCACAUGAAACAACAGCUGAGCAGUUUGAUAAUCAUAAACUCAUAACACCUUUUGAGGAAAAUAAGGGAUUCCCUGGGCCCUGGCAGAGGAGAUGAAGCCAUGCGGAAGCCUCUGUUUCUGGACUGGAUCCGACACAGCGACCACUCCACAGUUGAUUUUGAUUGCACUGAUCAAAAGAAGCCCCCGUGUCUCGAUAUUUCACCAGAGGCAAGGAACACAGGACUUCAAAGACCUCCGCACUAAUCCCAUUUGGAUUAUUUAAUUAAGGACUCAGGAGUGCUGGAGACAAAACAAGAGCAUGGUUGUCACAUCGUUGAGUGACCUGUGGGGAAGGAUGCAGGUGCACGCCGGAAAUCACCAGCCUAACACUUCAGACUGCAUCAUAGUUGGCGUGCACUCCCCCCUUUAUGAAAAUGUUUGUGUUUACUGUGCAUGAAAUGCUGCUGCACAGUUAUAGAUUCUGGCAACGGCCUGCUCUUCCCAUUUGUUUCGGUUCAUUGCAGGGGUUUCUCUUUGUUCAUUUAAUUGUCAUUCCAGGAACAUUCCCCAGCUUAGUUUAGAUUGGUUCAUGAUGGUAUAAAAUAGUGGAAAACCAGAGAAGAUAUGAUCGUAACCGGGCUGCAGCCACAUUUUAUGUUAGAUGUGGAAGUGAUCUCAAGCUGGGCUGUUAUUAGCCCUGGCCCUGGGGAAACAGCUCCUUAAGUUUACCAUGUUUGGGUCAAAAUGUUGGAUUGCUUGGCAGGAUACAGCGAAUUCUAUGUGUGUGAAUGAGGUGUAUGCACUUUUAAAUUGAUGGUGGUUUCAUCAGAUCUUGUAUGAAAUUGUGCAAAUCAUCCGAAAAGAGACGGGAUUAUAGUCGUUUGGAUACUUCUCUUUAGACCAGCCCCCUUCUCAUAGUCCCACAAACCAAGGAUGCAGUGGUGGUUUGAUUGGCCCAUCUAAGCAGUCAUUGUGCCUCAUUUUAAAGGUGCAGUGUGUAGCUUUAUUUUGGACAAACAAGUUAGGCUUGUGCACAUUUUUGUAGUUAAAGGGUGGCCACAAAAACAGGCACUGGUGGAAGAAGAAGAGAGAGGGUGAUGUGCCUAAAAGUGUUAUCACAUCACAGGAGCUUACUGUCCUUACAGGCCACUAUUGCCUUUGAAAAAAGCUUAACAUCAUGUUAACUAACCAACAAUAAAUAUACAGUCCUGUGUAAGAGUCUUAACUUUCAACAUGAAGGUUAUUGGCCUCAGUCGAAGCGCUGUUUUUAUUAAAAUACAGUUUUUUUCUGAAUCUUGUUCUUAUGUGACCCAUUUAAACCGGGACAGCAUGUACGCAUUUCAACCCCUUGAGCCGGGAGUGCAGAUACAUCAUUUUGUAACAUUCUGUAGUUUUUCAAUCAUUUCUGGCGAAUCAUGGCGUGGCGAAUAAAAUCAUCAUACCCGUCUGCCUCUGAUAGGCUAAUAAAAUGUAGUAAAGCGAUCAGAUUCAUGCUCAGAUCUUGCUACGUGCUUCAGUACGCAAGGUGUGCCGAGGUUUAUUUUGAAGGAAUACCGGAAGUUGUUGUUGUGACGGGGUCUGAGUUGAUAAGUGAAAGAGUGUGAGAAAUAAAGCAGAGUGGAUGCUGCUGCCGUCACACGAAAAGACUGCAGUUUGUAUUUCUCUUUAUUUUAAUCCUUAGCCAGUAUAAGCGCCCUCACACUCAGCUACACAAUGACAGAGGCAGAGAGCAGCUUCGGAGAAGAAGCAUCCAGUAACAGGAUGGCACCUCCACCAUACAGGCUCUCUUAUUCAACUGUUACUCUGAGGCGUAUCCGUACGAUACGAAACGUUGUCUCGUCUGUUAGUAUCGCCUGUAGAUAGGGUCAUGUCCUUACACCAAGCUGGCUACAUCAAAAAACGGUUACAAACAACUGCACCAACACGAAUGAUAUCACUGCAGGUGCACGAUGUAGACAAGGACGUCUUCUGAUCAACGUUAAGAAAAACAACAGCUGCUUUACCUAGCUUCUGAGGGUUCACAGUGGAACGGAGCAAAAUCUCCGUCUACCAGAUGGAAAAAGUGUUAACAUGAACCAUGAUGUCAGGCUGUAUGAACAAGAAACAAACGGUGAUUUCAUUCCGCUCUGAUUAUCAGGCCGCUGAUUACAUUCUUCUGCAAAAGGAAGUUCAGUUCAGGCGAUAGGAUAACCGCCGGAUGUAGUGCAAGUAGGAUACAUUCAAAACACGUGUUAUUGCUAAUGUGGAUUUGAAUAGGAUAAAGAUGUUUUAUACCCCAGAAUGUUGUCUGUACUGGGUUACCUCAAGAGCUAAAGAUGCUCAACUGCUGAUAGAGUUUAUCACAUAUAAACUCAAGACUUACUUUAUAUAAAAGUGUGAACGUCUCAUAUUUAAGGUCAAAAUGAUAGAUAGGAUUGACUUUUAUACAUGACAUAAUACUGUUGAUAUCAGCUCCAAAGAUAGAAAGGUAGGACACAGUGGCUACCUGUAAAAUCCACUCGCUCUGUGAGACCGGUAACUCCAGUAGUUUCUGCAACAUCCGGGAACUUUUGUCACUGAAUGUUUAUUAUUUUUCCAAACUCAUGAAUUAAAGGGAUAUUAAAGUAGUUUUGAAGAGGGUUCACAUGAGUUGCAUGUCCUUAAGUGGUUAUAAUAGAUGCUGGUGCCAGGAGAGGACUUGUACAGAGGUUAGGCUACAGUUUUCUGUAGACAGAGCUGAGUCUAUCCAGCACUUUCACUCAUCUCAGUUUAAGCUUGCACUCUGAAUUUGCCCAACUAUAAUGGGGUCAAUCCUGGUGCUUUUAGACAGUGUUGCAACCACGAAAUUAGGCCUUGAAAGGCCCAGCAAUGGACCCAUUGUUUACAGCCUGUUUCAUGUAGCAGAAAGUCCUAAAACUCAAAGUUUUCGAUGAUUCAAAAGCACCAAAUGCACCCAUAACUGCAACCCAAGAAAGAAAAAGUGGUAAUUAUAAGAGCAGCCAUUCAUUUCCUCUCAAUCAAAUUCAAAGAAUCAACAAUUUCUCCAACUCUAAUCUUUGCACAGCAGCAGAAAAGUGGGCGUAACUCACAGUGAGUGACUGCAGUUGUUAAUGUGCCAUCAUAUUGGAUCUAACAUGGCAGGAUAUUCAGAUUAACGCCUUGUCUGUAGCUGUGUCACACUCUAACCAAUCAUCUAAUUCCAGUCUGUUGAAAUAGUGAGAAUUCAGACCAGAUUUGGGAGGAAAAUCCAGUCGAGUGUAACUUUUUCUUUUCAUUUAGUUUUAUAUGGUUUGGCACAAAAUGAAACAAACUUGGGUAUAAUGAGCCGCAAAGGGCCCAAUCAAGUUUAUAUAAGCACCAGCUCAGGUUAAGGAACAUGUCAUGUCAAAAUGGACUGCUUUCAGAUGCUGGAGUAACUGUGGUAGCGUUUGAUGUCCUGGGUUCCUUACAAGCUGACAAAACACAGGGUGUAAAAGGCCUGUGAAAUACUGAAGAUGUCUUUCCUCAAAGCGAGCAGCAUGUGGUGUCACAGUAAUUAAGUUAUUAGCUCUGUAGUUGAAUGUCCAUCCUCGGUGCAAGCUGUUGCGAGGCAGAAUUUAUGGCUCAAAUUAGAUCCACAGCUUAUUACAGCUUCAGUGGUAUGGAGCUAAUUCUUCAUGGCGAGUCAGAAAUCUUCUGGACAAGUGUAUUUGUCCAUAUGGAGCUGUUUAAGGCUGAAAUGUGUUCCUCACAAAGCGCAGCGCUGGAGGAGUUAUGAAUUAGUCUGUGACAUGCAAACAGGUGCAAACGUCCAGAAAUACACAGCGGCUAAAGCUAAUGUUUACCCGGGGUGAGUCACAGCAGGCGUAAUGAUUAUCAUUCCACACCCUGUCCAAGAUUCCUCAAACAAUGUUAGCAGCAUUACCAAUCACAGUCUCAUGCCUUCAGUGUUGAUAUACAAUCAGGUUGAUGGACUGCAUCAAGAUGUGUUGAUCUCACAGGAAGAGUCGGAAAGAAGGUGGAGGGGCCGGGGUCGAGAGGGGGACCAAAAUCUGGACAUUUUGUCAAAGAUUCAGGGUUGUUGUUGUUGUUUUUUCACUCAUCCUGGUGAAUGCUAACUGGAAUUUCAAUGUUGAUUGUUGGUUGAAAACAUGGAGGCUAAUGCUGCUUUACAGUUGGGAUUUCCAAGCUGAGUCGGAAAUUCAUCUGGAACGCCCUUAGGUCGGAUUUCCAACUCAAAAAGUCGGAUGGUCCUCACUAACCCCGACUUAACGACAACAUCAUAAUCCAAGGUGGCAGCACAGUACAUUGACAGUAAAGCGUAACAGUGAAAUCUCUCAUAAUGUGUUAAUUAUCAGAACUUCUGUUUUGUUUUUGUGAAAUUCAAUAAGUGGUAUAUGUUGUACUGUCCAAGGUCUAACUGUGAACA
This is a non-coding RNA of Xyrichtys novacula (pearly razorfish), 9748 nucleotides long. The record is from the annotation of a GenBank genome assembly. NCBI's taxonomy places the organism in Eukaryota, Metazoa, Chordata, Actinopteri, Labriformes, Labridae.